GUGAAGCGGUGUGUGAGGGAAUAUCAGAGACGACGAGGAACUCCGCAGCGGCUCGAUGAGCUCCGGAUGCGUCCGAACCAGAAGUUCGACGGUCUCCAGCCUGAAACAGAGCAAAGUUGACGAUGUGUUUACUGCGUCGUGGUUUGUCGGAGUUGAAAUGAAUCGUCCCAGUUAGGAGAAAAAAAAAAAAUUGUACCGCAGGCGAAGAAUCUAUAUGAAAAAAAAUACAUAUAUUCAUUAUCGACAGAUAACGGUAGGAAAAGAAAUACCACAUGGACUCGAGAAACGCGCUGACGGUGGUAUGUAAAAAAAAAAUCUGUCCACAGUUGUCCACUUUUCAUCAUAUGCUGUACUUUUCAGUUCAAGUUCUUUCUUAUAUUCUCAUUAUUUCUUUCUUCUACAAGUGAUGUCAAAUUCACGAAGAAUAAAAUAAUAUCGAUUAAUGUCAUUAUCAAUUAAAAAAGUUACAAAUGCAUCGCUCCAAAAAUCCGGCUAGUAUUUUACAAAGUUUAUAAAACCAUCCCAAAAAAUGAAAUAUGCCGUUUACUUUUGGCCCGAUGCAAUGAUAGUAAUAUAUGUGUAUGUGUUCCAAGAAUUCACGAACGGUAAAUUCCUCCCGUGCUCCAUUGUUAUAGCGAGCACAAUUCGCGCAGACGUAUAAAUUUAUUUGAUCAAA
This 676-nucleotide long non-coding RNA is filed under the name Neodiprion pinetum (white pine sawfly). RNAcentral describes it as "uncharacterized LOC124222017". Lineage: Eukaryota; Metazoa; Arthropoda; Insecta; Hymenoptera; Diprionidae. The record is from RNAcentral.